RNAcentral lists this long non-coding RNA (2794 nucleotides) under Lactuca sativa (garden lettuce). Its description in RNAcentral is "long non-coding RNA (LSAT_LNC003171)". Lineage: Eukaryota; Viridiplantae; Streptophyta; Magnoliopsida; Asterales; Asteraceae. The record is from RNAcentral.
AAAAUUAUAGGGUUGGUUACACGCCACGUAUCCUAGAUUUGAACGACGCGGUGCUUUUCCUUCUCCAAGGUACCAUAUCGGUUUCGUUUUAUCACAUACCUGUCAUUCUUGUUCACCAAUGAUUAACUUACCGUCGUAGGAAUGAAGAGGCAAUAAAAACUUUAUCCUCUUUUAAAAACCACAAUUAGACACUGUCUUUCCGUUCAUCCACCGACUGUCUUCUUUCGAUCGCAACUUCGACUUUCUAGAACAUCUCUGUCUUUCUCACAACCAAAAAGAAGUCUAACCAAAUCAUUUAGAGAAAGAAAGAACAACUGAUUUGGCGGCAAUAUAUGAUUCAUCUUCCUGGAUUCGUUAACACAGGUUAGAAUUCAUUUAAUUUUGAUUUCAAUUUUUGUUUUAACUAUAACUUUGAAGUAUCUUUUAUAUAAUUGAGCCACUUAUUCAUUUGUAUUGAUUCAACCUUGUUUAUUUUAAAAUUUGGAAAUCGAAUUAUUCAAUUUUCUAUUCUAUAUAUGUUCAAUUGAGUCAUGAAAAGGGUUGAACAAGAAUUGUGAUCAUUAUAUAUAUUUGUAGAAAUAUGCGUAUAUGGAAAUUUCUAUGGAAUCCUAAUCUGAAUUGACAUCAAAACUAAACAAGUUUUCUCCAUGGUUCAUUUAGCUAUGCCAUCUUUGACAAUGCAUAUCGGUUGGGCUAUGGAAGCCAAGUAUUUGAUGAAAUGUCUAGGAGACCGUCUUUAUUCCAUUGUCUCUACUUAUUACAUUUGCUAAUAACAUUUUACCCGAAAAUUAAAAAUUGGCAGUUUGGAUUAAUAAAAUCUUUUGGAUGCUGAUUGUUAGAAUUGUUAAAAUUGUUCUUUGGUUCAUGGCUUUCAUAAUAAAUAGUUACAACUUCCUUUUCUUUUACGUGUAUGAAACUAAAUAAAAGUUGAUGCAUAUUAAUAGUAUAUGGAAUGCUUUUUCAACAUAGUUUUAACGAACAUAGACUUGGGUUUGUUGGUUUUUAAAUUUUGUUUUGUUUGAUUCCUAAAUUUUUUUUUUUUUAUACUUUAUGCAAUAUUAUUGUAAGGGAUUUUACCUUUAAUCCAUGGAAUAGGUACCAUUAAAGACACUCUUCUACUAAUUGAAUUAAAUUUGAAUAAAAAAACAUAAUUGAAAUCCUUACCUAUGCAAUUGUAUUGUUACCAUUAUCUAAUAUGAAUAACUAUCCCACCAGUGUAGCAUAAUUAAUAGAAUAACUAUUUAAUUACAAGUAUGGUAUUCUUUAUUUCCAUUCCUGGAAUCCACCAUAUAAUUACAGCAAAGAGGAAAAGUUUUAAAAUUUUAUGCCCAUAAAAGUCAUCCACAUGAACGUCAAAUAUACCCAAACAUCCAUUUGUCAAUAGUAAAUAUUUGAUCCCUUUCAAACAAUCAACAAAAAUCCGUUUAUAUUUUAAUCUCCACAAACAACCAUCAACAUCCGUAUCACCAUAAACCACCUGAUGUUUAGAAAAUAUUAAAUGAAAAAAAACAAAAGCACAACAUACUAUGCUAUAAUUUUACAUGUUUUCCCAAGUCAUCAGUUAUGUUUUAAUCCCUGUCAAACAAUCAACAACACUGUAUUGCCAUAAACCACCUGCUUUUCAGCAGAUUAAAAAAAAUUCAAAAUUGAUUUUGAAGUAUUGAACUAUUAAUAUCCAAACUUCAAUAGACUAUCUGAUUUUCGAGUACAAUGUCCUAAACCCUAAUAACAAAAUUAUGAAAAUCCCAGGCAAUAAGAUGGAGUGGUGAUUGGUGGAAGACAGUUAAGCAAAAUUAGUGUCAUGAAAAGAAAAAUAACAAGUAGGUAAUUUCAUUUCUAGAUAAGCAUCUCUCUUGUAAAUGAGAUAGCUAGGUGAAUGCAGUGACAAGUUCAUAAUUUACUGUUGAUGGCUGAUCAAAUACAUAGGCUAUCAGUAUAACACCAAUUAAUUCAGUUGGAGCAUGUUACAUUUUUUCUUUGUUAUGUUUGUUAUUUCCAGGGUGUUCAACUGUCACAAAGUUCCAGAAGUGCUAUGAACACAGUCAACAUGAUGAUCUGUGGAGUCACUUCAUAAUAUGCACAUAAUCUGUUGUGUAAAUGCUCAAGUAACUUCUAAAAGAUUCUGGCGAUGUUAACCAUCUGAUGAGUUUAGUUUUGGAAUUAAAAGAAAUAAAAGUUUACUGAGUUUAGAGAUAUAAUUGAUAAAUUAUUACCAAAUGUUGACUAUUGUUCAUUGUCUAAUGAAAUAUGAGGUAUAUGUGCAUGUUGUAGUGAUAAAAAUGACUAACAUCUAAGCUAUAGGGCAUAAAUAGCAAUGUACUUUUUUUAACAUGGUGAGAUAAUCUUUUGUUUGAUCAAUUACUUCUUACACAAUCAAAUUUGCUAUCACUAACACUUUCAAUAUGUACAUACGAAGUCAUGGUGUUUUUAUUAUGCUUUUUAUUCUUAUUGGUAUGAACUAUGAAGGUACAAGAAGAUGAUGAUCCGUGUUAAUAUCAUGUAAAAUAUUACAUGUAUGAUAGAAUAAGAAGAAUAUUAGGGAUGGUUGUUUGUUGGGCAUGAAAGAAGAAGGUGUUGGAUGUAUAGCUAUUGUUUGUGGUUAUGGUGGGGCAGCACUUGAUGCUAACACCUUCUUGACAGCAAGGGAUGUAAGCAAGUUGAUGUGCAUCUAGAACCAUCAAUAGAUGACAAGUAACAUAAAAAUUAUGAUGCUAAUGCAUGUGGACUCAAUUUUUUUCUAAAGGUUAUAUUAAACACCAAGCGGGUCAACUACUACUUUUUAUAUGUAAAUCAU